GGUAUGAAUGGCUAAACGAGAAAUCGGCUUUUUUUGUCAUAAAAGUUGAAUUUAAUUUUUUAGUGAAAAAGCUAAAAUUCUUCAGAAAGACGAGAAGACCCUAUAGAGUUUUAUAUUUUUAUAAAUUUUUUUUUAGUGGAUUUUUUUGGAAAAAAUUUUUUAUAGAUAUUUUGUUGGGGCGACAUUUAGAUAAGUGAAACUCUUUAUUUUGAAGACUUUAUUAAAAGAAUGAAUUGAUCCUUUAUAAGAGAUCAAAAGAAAAAAUUACCUUAGGGAUAACAGCGUAAUCUUUUUUGAGAGUUCUAAUCGACAAAAAGGUUUGCGACCU
Molecule: ribosomal RNA, 328 nt
Filed under: Tetraclita kuroshioensis
Lineage: Eukaryota; Metazoa; Arthropoda; Thecostraca; Balanomorpha; Tetraclitidae
Description: partial large subunit ribosomal RNA
Rfam family: Bacterial large subunit ribosomal RNA
Source: RNAcentral